Sinocyclocheilus rhinocerous is the source of this 984-nucleotide long non-coding RNA. RefSeq lists it as uncharacterized. The transcript has 2 exons. NCBI's taxonomy places the organism in Eukaryota, Metazoa, Chordata, Actinopteri, Cypriniformes, Cyprinidae. The record is from RefSeq and is a predicted model, not a curated record.
CCUUACGACUCCUGACCAGCAGAUGAGCAAGACCCCAUCAUCCAGCUCUCUCUCCCAGCGCAUGAAGAAUGCAACUCUCAAUGCAAUCACUCCAAAGUUUUCUAGCAGGAGCAGAGCUGCAGUCAGCGUCCCUCGCCAGGGGCACUUCUUCGUCUCUCCUCUCCUGAAGUAGCCCUGAAGCUCCUCAAGGCUGAGUUUUUCUUUUCUUUGGGAAACAGCUGCAAUAUAUUACAUUAUCCUACUUGCAUAUUAUGUCUGGUUUGUCCAUCAGUUUGAACCAUAUUAACACUACUCUUUUUAUCUGUCGAGUUUUCUAGUAACAUUUGUAUUUUAGUCGCUUUUAAAUGUUUUAAUGUACUGUUAACAUUCUCACAACCAAAGCGAUGGGCUGAUAUAAGCACUUCCAUCAGUCACUGAAUCCUCUAUUAACAACAGAAUAUGCAUCAGUUUGGGAGUUCUUUAUCAAGAAACCUGAACUUGGUUGUAGCAUCUAGAACAAAAAAGGUUAUGCUGUAUGCGAGAUUUGUAUAUAGUAUAAUCUGUGUAUUGCUUGUAUAUUGUGUGUUUUACAUGGAACGACAAGCAAAAUCUCAAUCUCUUAGAGGGUUCAAGGCUUUAGUGACUAUCAGGUUUUUCUAUGUAGAGUGUAAACUGUGUUUUUAAACACAGUCAAGCUUAGAUUUUACAGCCAGUAGGUUUAAUACAGAAUUUAAGAUGAUGCUGCUGCUGAUGUUAAAAUGAAUGAUGCUGAUGUUUAAAUUAUCCAUUUGUUGUUUGAGAUACACUGUGCUUUUGAACCGUCUAAGAUUUGUGCGUAGAGAGGUUCAAGACAAGAAAAUUGAGAAUUCUAUGCAAUUUGUAUGCGAAAACACUAUUGGUUGUUUUGAUUGGGCAUUUUGUCUUUUAGCUUCAUAAUUGCUUUUGAUCAUAAAUGAACAUGGCCAGAAUUCUUUUAGACUUUCACUAUGGCAUUGAUUUAUGUCU